UUUUCGAAGGGUUUGAUCCUGGCUCAGAAUGAACGUUGGCGGCGUGGAUUAGGCAUGCAAGUCGGACGGGCCGCAAGGCCAGUGGCGCAAGGGUGAGUAAGGCGACGGUAACCUACCCCAUGAUCGGGGAUAGCCGCGGGAAACCGCGGGUAAUCCCCAGCGACGUCGCCGGGGGGCAUCCCCCGGCGACCAAAGCCCCGGCGUCGUGGGAC
This 212-nucleotide ribosomal RNA is filed under the name Planctomycetaceae bacterium. Its description in RNAcentral is "partial 16S ribosomal RNA". It matches the Rfam family "Bacterial small subunit ribosomal RNA", at positions 1 to 226 of the family's 1533-position model. The record is from RNAcentral. Lineage: Bacteria; Pseudomonadati; Planctomycetota; Planctomycetia; Planctomycetales; Planctomycetaceae.